This 371-nucleotide ribosomal RNA is filed under the name uncultured bacterium. Its description in RNAcentral is "bacterial SSU rRNA". It matches the Rfam family "Bacterial small subunit ribosomal RNA", at positions 527 to 896 of the family's 1533-position model. The record is from RNAcentral.
GGAGGGUGCGAGCGUUAAUCGGAAUUACUGGGCGUAAAGCGUGCGUAGGCGGUUCGUUAAGUCAGAUGUGAAAGCCCUGGGCUCAACCUGGGAACUGCAUUUGAAACUGGCGGACUAGAGUUUAGUAGAGGGGAGUGGAAUUUCAGGUGUAGCGGUGAAAUGCGUAGAUAUCUGAAGGAACACCAGUGGCGAAGGCGACUCCCUGGACUAGAACUGACGCUGAGGUACGAAAGCGUGGGUAGCAAACAGGAUUAGAUACCCUGGUAGUCCACGCCGUAAACGAUGUCGACUAGCCGUUGGUCCUAUUUACAGGAUUAGUGGCGCAGCUAACGCAUUAAGUCGACCGCCUGGGGAGUACGGCCGCAAGGUUA